Small RNA from Xanthomonas albilineans GPE PC73, 76 nucleotides. It matches the Rfam family "Xanthomonas sRNA sX9". NCBI's taxonomy places the organism in Bacteria, Pseudomonadati, Pseudomonadota, Gammaproteobacteria, Lysobacterales, Lysobacteraceae. The record is from Rfam.
AUGUACUGCCUGUAGAUUGCGUUUCCUACGCGCUGUCAACGCCCAUCCGACACAGACUCGCGACGUUUUGUUAGCC